Molecule: ribosomal RNA, 460 nt
Filed under: uncultured bacterium
Lineage: Bacteria
Description: partial 16S ribosomal RNA
Rfam family: Bacterial small subunit ribosomal RNA
Source: RNAcentral
CCUACGGGAGGCUGCAGUGAGGAAUAUUGGUCAAUGGACGCGAGUCUGAACCAGCCAAGUAGCGUGCAGGAUGACUGCCCUCUGGGUUGUAAACUUCUUUUAUAUAGGAAUAAAACGAGGCUCGUGAGCCCUUUUGCAUGUACUUUAUGAAUAAGAAUAGGCUCACUCUGGGUCAGGAGCCGCGGUAUUACGGAGGAGCCGCGCGUUAUCCGGAUUUAUUGGGUUUAAAGGGAGCGUAGAUGGGUGGUUAAGGCAGUUGUGGAAGUAUGCGGCUCAACCGUAAAAGUGCAGUUGAUACUGGCAGUCUUGAGUACAGUGGAGGUAGGCGGAAUUCGUGGUGUAGCGGUGAAAUGCUUAGAUAUCACGAAGAACCCCGAUUGCGAAGGCAGGUUACUAGACUGUGACUGACACUGAGGCUCGAAAGUGUGGGUAUCAAACAGGAUUAGAUACCCUUGUAGUC